This 484-nucleotide ribosomal RNA is filed under the name uncultured bacterium. Its description in RNAcentral is "partial 16S ribosomal RNA". It matches the Rfam family "Bacterial small subunit ribosomal RNA", at positions 28 to 507 of the family's 1533-position model. The record is from RNAcentral.
AUUGAACGCUGGCGGCAUGCUUUACACAUGCAAGUCGAACGGCAGCGCGGGCUUUGGCCUGGCGGCGAGUGGCGAACGGGUGAGUAAUGCAUCGGAACGUGCCCAGUAGUGGGGGAUAGCCCGGCGAAAGCCGGAUUAAUACCGCAUACGACCUGAGGGUGAAAGCGGGGGACCGAAAGGCCUCGCGCUAUUGGAGCGGCCGAUGUCGGAUUAGCUAGUUGGUGGGGUAAAGGCUUACCAAGGCGACGAUCCGUAGCUGGUCUGAGAGGACGACCAGCCACACUGGGACUGAGACACGGCCCAGACUCCUACGGGAGGCAGCAGUGGGGAAUUUUGGACAAUGGGGGCAACCCUGAUCCAGCCAUGCCGCGUGCGGGAAGAAGGCCUUCGGGUUGUAAACCGCUUUUGUUCGGGAAGAAAUCCUCUGGGCUAAUACCCCGGGGGGAUGACGGUACCGGAAGAAUAAGCACCGGCUAACUACGUG